GCCAGGAAUGGUGAUGCCUGCUUAUGGUCCUAGCUACUUGGGAGGCUGAGGCAGAAGGAUCAUUGUCAGCCCAGGAAUUCAGGGUCACCCUGGGUGACACAGUGAGAACUUAUUUCUU
RNAcentral lists this small RNA (118 nucleotides) under Marmota monax (woodchuck). The record is from RNAcentral. Lineage: Eukaryota; Metazoa; Chordata; Mammalia; Rodentia; Sciuridae.